CACGGUAAAAUAAUAGGCUAACUAUAAAAAAAAGACAAAGAACAUGGCGAUUUUGUUCGAGCAGAAGAUAACAUCUGUUCUUUGCAGACUAUCUGAGGCAAAUGAAAGCGAGAAACCAUAAUCCUUCCUGAUGUUUGAGUUCUUCUGGUAACGUAGGCUAGCAAUGUCAGAAAGAGGUGGUGAACGCAGUCACAGACUCCGCUGAAGUUUCUGACAGUUUUCUAAAAAGUUCGUCCACGAAAGCAACAGCUGGGAGCUUGCAGUACAUUUGGUUUUUUGUGAUUGGACGAGGCAGAUUGCUGAGAAUUCCCCCAGCAGGCAGUUGACAUCUAAGGCAAAUAAACGUUGUGGAAGUUGUGCCUGAAAAGACUGUAAAUGCACACACUCUACACACACACACGCACACACACUGUGCUCUUACAUAACUGCUUUUUGAGCUGCCUCUCUUAAAGUGUCUCAGAGGAGCAUGCCGUAUCUGUAGUACACAAACUGAUCACAGCUGAGGGGCCGCCCGCCACACAGUGCUGUCCUUACGUCACCCUGGCUGGCAUCCAGAUUAGGUCAGAUUGCACUGAAUGAAACCUUUCAUCAGACAUUUCGUCUGAUAAUCUGGUAUGUGGGACCUGUAUCUCAACCAGCAACUGAGCAAGUGGUGGUAACAUCUGACUAGCUGUUUACUUUCAACUUAGUUCUGUACUACCCACUUACCUCUCUUACAACUGCUGUAAAACACACACACACCACUCAUAUUUUGACUUUUCUAGUUUCUAGUUGAGCAAAAAAGUCACAAGGUGGCUUCAAGUCACAAGUCCACAGGUGGCUAGUCCUCCUGCACACACACACAUGACAAAGAGAAAGGUAAGUGGUAGAUUGGCAGGUGGGGAGUUGCAUCUCCUAAUCUGUGCCUGCAUGUGAAGAUUAUUUUCAGUUGGUCUGUGUUGUAUCUUUGUAUUAUUUAUAAUGUGUGUAUCAUUUUAUGAUGUGUGUAUUUGGGGGCUAAUCUGAUGUCGAUGUGAGCAUCCCUGAGCCAAUAAAAAAAGCAUUUCAAUGACA
Long non-coding RNA from Alosa alosa (allis shad), 1053 nucleotides. RefSeq lists it as uncharacterized. The record is from RefSeq and is a predicted model, not a curated record. The transcript has 2 exons. NCBI's taxonomy places the organism in Eukaryota, Metazoa, Chordata, Actinopteri, Clupeiformes, Clupeidae.